Molecule: ribosomal RNA, 468 nt
Filed under: uncultured bacterium
Lineage: Bacteria
Description: partial 16S ribosomal RNA
Rfam family: Bacterial small subunit ribosomal RNA
Source: RNAcentral
GACGAACGCUGGCGGCGUGCUUAACACAUGCAAGUCGAACGGAAAGGCGCUGCGUUUGUGGGGUGCUCGAGUGGCGAACGGGUGAGUAACACGUGAGUAACAUGCCCUUGACUGUGGGAGAACUUCAGGAAACUGCGGCUAAUAUCGGAGAGGAGCUCCUGAUGCAUGGUGGGGGUUGGAAAGAUUCGGCGGUUGGGGAUGGACUCGCGGCUUAUCAGCUUGUUGGUGGGGUAGGGGCUGACCAAGGCUUUGACGGGUAGCCGGCCUGAGAGGGUGAACGGCCACAUUGGGCCUACGAUAGGGACCAGAAUCCUACGGGAGGCAGUAGUCGGGAGUCUUGCGGAAUGGGCGGAAGCCUGAUGCAGCAACCCUGGGUGCGGGAUGACGGCCUUCGGGUUGUAAACCACUGUCGACUGUGACGAAGACUUAGUGACGGUACUGAGUCAAGAAGCCCCGGCUAACUACGUG